CAUGGCUGUUAUGUCCAGCCAAGAGGCCACCACGAGGAGGCCAGCACCACAAGGAACACGUACAGCCCCAUUAAUCAAGCUUCAUCAUCCAUAUCAUGACAAGGAGACACCAUCACCAUGCCACUUUACUUCCUCAUGUGGCGAUGGAGAAUCUUCGAUGGAGCUUGACCUUCGUACGAGUCGGAGAGGAGAACUUGAAGAACUGUGGAAGACUUGAAGAAUAGAGUCGGGUGUAGAGUUAAAGCCUUGAGUUAGAGAGCUAACAGUUAUUGGUUUAAGCUGGCAUAACGAUUUUAGAAAUUUAUAUUUGGGGUUUCGGGUACUCGCCUUGUUCAAGGCUUGAUGUAAAUCCCUUUGUAGUUGGGAGUAUGCAUGACAUGUUUUGGAAAUACAUUUGAAAAGAAAAAAAUAUACUCGUGUUUAUACAUUCUUUUGGAAAAUAUUGCAUAUUCACCUUAUCAGAUUGUUACCGUAACCCCUUGAAAUUCGAGGCGUUACACUCGCCUGCGAGGCGACACAGGCAUAAAGGCCAUGCUGUAUUUGUGGUUGUCAUGAACUUGAACUGCUUCAGAAGUGGCUCGGUCAGACAAGGAGUGAUCAUGGGUUAGGAGCACCUCUUUGGCAAGGUCAGGUGAAGAGACAACUAUGGUGGUUACUUGACCAAGCUUUAGGGUCAUGAUGGGGCCGUGAACCUUGGCCAGGUUGGCCAAGGAUUGGUGAGGCAUUUCGCCAAGUGCAAGAAGGUUUCCAAUUAUGGGGAGAGGGUCAGGUCCUGGUGGAAGCUUGUACUUUGGUUUUGUGCUGCCUCUGAAUACUCUUGAAUACAAAGCUUGUGUAAGGGUGAAUGUCAACGCAAGGAGCUGGAGCAUACAACUUAGGAACUUCAUGUUUUGAUCCACCUGAAUCCAUCAAAUAAAGUGAUAUUAGAAUUUGUGAGGUCUAACUCUACCUGAAAAGCAAGAUCAAGAGGUGACUCUUCUCAUAUAUUACGGUCAUCUCGGUUUAAUAAUUUGUCAAUGUUGAACUUCUCAACACUUAAUUAAGAAUACUAUUGAAUGUGUUGUAGUGUA
Lotus japonicus is the source of this 1070-nucleotide long non-coding RNA. RefSeq lists it as uncharacterized. The transcript is spliced from 2 exons. The record is from RefSeq and is a predicted model, not a curated record. Lineage: Eukaryota; Viridiplantae; Streptophyta; Magnoliopsida; Fabales; Fabaceae.